Molecule: long non-coding RNA, 448 nt
Organism: Passer montanus (Eurasian tree sparrow)
Lineage: Eukaryota; Metazoa; Chordata; Aves; Passeriformes; Passeridae
Exons: 2
Source: RefSeq, a predicted model, not a curated record
GGUGGGAGCGUUCCCAAGCUCUGACUGCCAGCUCCGUGCUCCUGGGCUCGGCCCCAGCCGCAGGUUUGGGGGUCUGGGGGGUCCUGGGGCAGUUUUGGGGUGGAUCGGGGCAGUUUGGGGGGUCCUGGAGGGGUUUUGGGGGGUCUCAGGGGGGUUCUGGUGUUCCCGAGCUCCGACCACCCAGGAUCAACCCAGGAAUUCCUGAAAGCCGCGGACGCGUUCCCGGGCAGCGAGCCGCGCGUGCUGGGGCUGGCCAUGGUGCCCGGGCACCACAUCGUGUCCAUCGAGGUGGAGCCCCCCUACCCCUGAGGGACCCCCGGGGACCCCAGGCACACCGGAGAGACCCCCAAAACACUGGAUGGACCCAAAAACCACCUGAGAGACCCCAAAACCACCCCUGGAUGGACCCCAGAAAUAACUGAGAGACCCCAAAAACACCUGAUGGACC